RNAcentral lists this ribosomal RNA (497 nucleotides) under uncultured bacterium. RNAcentral's name for it is "partial 16S ribosomal RNA". It matches the Rfam family "Bacterial small subunit ribosomal RNA", at positions 28 to 507 of the family's 1533-position model. The record is from RNAcentral.
GAUGAACGCUGGCGGCGUGCCUAAUACAUGCAAGUCGAGCGAACAGACGAGGAGCUUGCUCCUUCGACGUUAGCGGCGGACGGGUGAGUAACACGUAGGUAACCUACCUAUAAGACUGGGAUAACUUCGGGAAACCGGAGCUAAUACCGGAUAAUAUUUCGAACCGCAUGGUUCGAUAGUGAAAGAUGGCUUUGCUAUCCCUUAUAGAUGGACCUGCGCCGUAUUAGCUAGUUGGUAAGGUAACGGCUUACCAAGGCAACGAUACGUAGCCGACCUGAGAGGGUGAUCGGCCACACUGGAACUGAGACACGGUCCAGACUCCUACGGGAGGCAGCAGUAGGGAAUCUUCCGCAAUGGGCGAAAGCCUGACGGAGCAACGCCGCGUGAGUGAUGAAGGUCUUCGGAUCGUAAAACUCUGUUAUUAGGGAAGAACAAACGUGUAAGUAACUGUGCACGUCUUGACGGUACCUAAUCAGAAAGCCACGGCUAACUACGUG